UACAGAGGUGGCAAGCGUUGUUCGGAAUUACUGGGCGUAAAGGGCGCGUAGGCGGUUCGUUAAGUCCUGUGUGAAAUCCCCCGGCUCAACUGGGGAACUGCACAGGAAACUAGCGGGCUUGAGUUCGGGAGAGGGAAGCGGAAUUCCGGGUGUAGCGGUGAAAUGCGUAGAUAUCUGGAGGAACACCGGUGGCGAAGGCGGCAUCCUGGACCGACACUGACGCUGAGGCGCGAAAGCUAGGGUAGCAAACGGG
RNAcentral lists this ribosomal RNA (253 nucleotides) under uncultured bacterium. RNAcentral's name for it is "partial 16S ribosomal RNA". It matches the Rfam family "Bacterial small subunit ribosomal RNA", at positions 524 to 776 of the family's 1533-position model. The record is from RNAcentral.